UGGGGCCUUGCCCUAAUACUGGCAAGUUCGAGCCGACAGAAUGGGAGCUUGCUCCCUGAUGUUAGCGGCGGACGGGUGAGUAACACGUGGGUAACCUGCCUGUAAGACUGGGAUAACUCCGGGAAACCGGGGCUAAUACCGGAUGGUUGUUUGAACCGCAUGGUUCAAACAUAAAAGGUGGCUUCGGCUACCACUUACAGAUGGACCCGCGGCGCAUUAGCUAGUUGGUGAGGUAAUGGCUCACCAAGGCAACGAUGCGUAGCCGACCUGAGAGGGUGAUCGGCCACACUGGGACUGAGACACGGCCCAGACUCCUACGGGAGGCAGCAGUAGGGAAUCUUCCGCAAUGGACGAAAGUCUGACGGAGCAACGCCGCGUGAGUGAUGAAGGUUUUCGGAUCGUAAAGCUCUGUUGUUAGGGAAGAACAAGUACCGUUCGAAUAGGGCGGUACCUUGACGGUACCUAACCAGAAAGCCACGGCUAACUACGUGCCAGCAGCCGCGGUAAUACGUAGGUGGCAAGCGUUGUCCGGAAUUAUUGGGCGUAAAGGGCUCGCAGGCGGUUUCUUAAGUCUGAUGUGAAAGCCCCCGGGCUCAACCCGGGGAG
Molecule: ribosomal RNA, 606 nt
Filed under: Bacillus subtilis
Lineage: Bacteria; Bacillati; Bacillota; Bacilli; Caryophanales; Bacillaceae
Description: bacterial SSU rRNA
Rfam family: Bacterial small subunit ribosomal RNA
Source: RNAcentral